RNAcentral lists this ribosomal RNA (112 nucleotides) under uncultured bacterium. Its description in RNAcentral is "partial 16S ribosomal RNA". It matches the Rfam family "Bacterial small subunit ribosomal RNA", at positions 1365 to 1482 of the family's 1533-position model. The record is from RNAcentral.
AAUACGUUCCCGGACCUUGUACACACCGCCCCGUCAAGCCAUGGGAGCCGAGGGUACCUGAAGAUGGUGACUUUACGGGGAGCUAUCUAGGGUAAAAUUGGUAACUGGGGCU